GUCUUCUUCUUCUACACACUAGAGGGAUCUGCAAAUACCCAAACCCGAGUGCAAUAUAACUUUCAUCUAAUCCCUUUGCCCAGCGCAUUUCCGUAAACUACACCAGCCUAAAGCGAGAACCCUCAAGAUGGCGUCAUGCCUGGUGAUUUCACUCCUUUUUUGCUGCAAGGUCACAGGAGUGCCGGCGCCAAUCCCAGCUAACUUCGCGCAAAAAAACGGGGACCAACGGAAUGAUCCUGUUCGUGGAAUUCACCUCUGCAUUCAACAUGAUUAUUAAGAACUCCUCUCCUCCAAGCUUCUCCAGUUUAGCAUCUUGCCUGCCAUCUGCCAGUAGAUUUAAAACUUCCUAAUCACAGGGACAUAGCAGAAAUGACUGCACCUCAAGGCACCUGGCUGUCAAACACCUGAAGUUUGCAGAUGACACCACAGUCAUCAGCCUCAUCAAAGACGGUGACAAGUCUGCGUAUCGACAGGAAGUAGCGAGGCUGGGCCUGUGGUGUUGCUGACACAACCUGGAGAUAAAUGCACUCAAGAGAUGAUUAUGGGCAUUCGGAGGCAUUCUUCACCACAGCUGCCUCACCCACUGUCCAACUGUCUCGUGUCAACCUUUAAGUCCCUGGGAAUUACAGUCUCUCAGGACCUGAAGUGGCAGAAGGACAUCAAUUCCAUCCUCAGGAAAGCCCAACAGAGGAUGAAUUUCCUGCAGCGUCUUAGGAAGCAUGGCCUGCCACAAGAGCUGUUGAGGCAGUUCUACACCGGUUAUCAAAUCAGUACUGUGUACCUCCAUCACAGUCUGGUUUGGUGCUGUCACAAAAAAGGACAAACUCCAACUGCAAAGGACAUUCAAAACCACUGAAAGGAUUGUUGGUACCGUCUUACCCACCUUCGAGGUUCUAUACGCUACCCAAACUAAGAAAAGCAGGCAAAAUCCUCUCAGACCCUUCGCAUCCUGGUCAUCAGCUCUUUCAGCUCCUUCCCUCAGGUAGGCACAACUGAACAAUCCAAACUAAAACAAGACAUUCCAACAGUUUUUUCCCACUUGCAACUUGCUUCUUAAACAGCUCUCUUGCAAUUGAACUGCAACUCGCUGCCAAUU
Long non-coding RNA from Syngnathoides biaculeatus (alligator pipefish), 1096 nucleotides. RefSeq lists it as uncharacterized. Lineage: Eukaryota; Metazoa; Chordata; Actinopteri; Syngnathiformes; Syngnathidae. The record is from RefSeq and is a predicted model, not a curated record. The transcript has 4 exons.